ACGCUGGCGGCGUGCCUAAUACAUGCAAGUCGAGCGAACAGAUAAGGAGCUUGCUCCUUUGAAGUUAGCGGCGGACGGGUGAGUAACACGUGGGUAACCUACCUAUAAGACUGGGAUAACUUCGAGAAACCGGAGCUAAUACCGGAUAACAUUUAGAACCGCAUGGUUCUAAAGUGAGAGAUGGUUUUGCUAUCACUUAUAGAUGGACCCGCGCCGUAUUAGCUAGUUGGUAAGGUAACGGCUUACCAAGGCGACGAUACGUAGCCGACCUGAGAGGGUGAUCGGCCACACUGGAACUGAGACACGGUCCAGACUCCUACGGGAGGCAGCAGUAGGGAAUCUUCCGCAAUGGGCGAAAGCCUGACGGAGCAACGCCGCGUGAGUGAUGAAGGGUUUCGGCUCGUAAAACUCUGUUAUUAGGGAAGAACAAAUGUGUAAGUAACUGUGCACAUCUUGACGGUACCUAAUCAGAAAGCCACGGCUAACUACGUGCCAGCAGCCGCGGUAAUACGUAGGUGGCAAGCGUUAUCCGGAAUUAUUGGGCGUAAAGCGCGCGUAGGCGGUUUCUUAAGUCUGAUGUGAAAGCCCACGGCUCAACCGUGGAGGGUCAUUGGAAACUGGGAAACUUGAGUGCAGAAGAGGAAAGUGGAAUUCCAUGUGUAGCGGUGAAAUGCGCAGAGAUAUGGAGGAACACCAGUGGCGAAGGCGACUUUCUGGUCUGUAACUGACGCUGAUGUGCGAAAGCGUGGGGAUCAAACAGGAUUAGAUACCCUGGUAGUCC
This 781-nucleotide ribosomal RNA is filed under the name uncultured bacterium. RNAcentral describes it as "bacterial SSU rRNA". It matches the Rfam family "Bacterial small subunit ribosomal RNA", at positions 33 to 796 of the family's 1533-position model. The record is from RNAcentral.